Molecule: microRNA precursor, 58 nt
Filed under: Homo sapiens (human)
Lineage: Eukaryota; Metazoa; Chordata; Mammalia; Primates; Hominidae
Description: Hsa-Mir-585_pre stem-loop
Source: RNAcentral
CUAGCACACAGAUACGCCCAGAGAAAGCCUGAACGUUGGGCGUAUCUGUAUGCUAGGG